RNAcentral lists this ribosomal RNA (468 nucleotides) under uncultured bacterium. Its description in RNAcentral is "partial 16S ribosomal RNA". It matches the Rfam family "Bacterial small subunit ribosomal RNA", at positions 28 to 507 of the family's 1533-position model. The record is from RNAcentral.
GACGAACGCUGGCGGCGUGCUUAACACAUGCAAGUCGAACGGAAAGGCCCUGCUUUUGUGGGGUGCUCGAGUGGCGAACGGGUGAGUAACACGUGAGUAACCUGCCCUUGACUUUGGGAUAACUUCAGGAAACUGGGGCUAAUACCGGAUAGGAGCUCCUGCUGCAUGAUGGGGGUUGGAAAGUUUCGGCGGUUGGGGAUGGACUCGCGGCUUAUCAGCUUGUUGGUGGGGUAGUGGCUUACCAAGGCUUUGACGGGUAGCCGGCCUGAGAGGGUGACCGGCCACAUUGGGACUGAGAUACGGACCAGACUCCUACGGGAGGCAGCAGUGGGGAAUAUUGCACAAUGGGCGGAAGCCUGAUGCAGCAACGCCGCGUGCGGGAUGACGGCCUUCGGGUUGUAAACCGCUUUCGCCUGUGACGAAGCGUGAGUGACGGUAAUGGGUAAAGAAGCACCGGCUAACUACGUG